UAUGUGAUCGUCUCUCGCAUAUCAAUAAGCGGAGGAAAAGAAACUAACAAGGAUUCCCCUAGUAACGGCGAGUGAAGCGGGAAGAGCUCAGAUUUGAAAUCUUAAAGGGUUUCCCUUUACGAAUUGUAGUUUAAAGAAGUGUUUUCUGUUGAGGUUUUGGUAAAAGUUCUUUGGAAUAGGACAUCAUAGAGGGUGAGAAUCCCGUAUUUGACCUUUACUUUCAACUUUGUGAUACACUUUCAAAGAGUCGGAUUGUUUGGGAAUGCAGUCCAAAAUGGGUGGUAAAUUUCAUCUAAAGCUAAAUAUUGGCGAGAGACCGAUAGCGAACAAGUACCGUGAGGGGAGAGAUGAAAAGAACUUUGAAAAGAGAGUUAAACAGUACGUGAAAUUGUCAAAAGGGAAGCGUUCGACACCAGUGUUGUUUUUCUGAAAAUCAAUUAAAGAACUGUUUAUGCUAAGUUGUUUAGACUUUAUCAGCUAUCUGUUUAGUUUUGAGCUUUUCUUUAAUGCACUUUUCAGUUAACAAGUCAACAUCAAUUUCUUUUGCUGUAAAAAAGCUUGAGGAAGGUGGCUUGAGAUUCGUCUUAAGUGUUUAUAGCCUCUUGCCUAUGCAGUCGGAGAGAUUGAGGUCUGCAGCGUAGAUCCUUCGGGGCUAAAUGCAUUUGUGCUAAGUUAUAGCAUUUUAUAGACAACUUGUUGACUAUGAUUUGUCUUGUAGCUUACUCGCUUAUGUUAUUUUACCUACGCUUAGGAUGUUGAAGUCAUCGUAUCGCGC
RNAcentral lists this ribosomal RNA (775 nucleotides) under uncultured Neocallimastigales. RNAcentral describes it as "partial large subunit ribosomal RNA". It matches the Rfam family "Eukaryotic large subunit ribosomal RNA", at positions 24 to 645 of the family's 3401-position model. The record is from RNAcentral. Lineage: Eukaryota; Fungi; Neocallimastigomycota; Neocallimastigomycetes; Neocallimastigales.